Molecule: non-coding RNA, 142 nt
Organism: Caenorhabditis elegans
Lineage: Eukaryota; Metazoa; Nematoda; Chromadorea; Rhabditida; Rhabditidae
Source: Ensembl
CACAAAAUUACGGAACGGAAAAAUGGAAGGGCUUGGCUAGGAAUUGACGGACGCAAGGCGUUUCAAAGCAAACUGCUUGUGGUGGGUGGCGGUGCGCGGCGCAAAUAUUUAUUUGUACAAUAGCCAAGAAACACGCGCGUGG